UACAGAGGUGCCAAGCGUUGUUCGGAUUUAUUGGGCGUAAAGGGUGCGUAGGUGGUGAUGCAAGUCGGGUGUGAAAUCCCGGAGCCUAACUCCGGAACUGCAUUCGAAACUGCAUCGCUCGAGGCCUGGAGAGGUGACUGGAAUUCUCGGUGUAGCAGUGAAAUGCGUAGAUAUCGAGAGGAACACCAGAGGCGAAAGCGAGUCACUGGACAGAGCCUGACACUGAGGCACGAAAGCUAGGGGAGCAAACGGG
This 253-nucleotide ribosomal RNA is filed under the name uncultured prokaryote. Its description in RNAcentral is "partial 16S ribosomal RNA". It matches the Rfam family "Bacterial small subunit ribosomal RNA", at positions 524 to 776 of the family's 1533-position model. The record is from RNAcentral.